Molecule: long non-coding RNA, 2039 nt
Organism: Homo sapiens (human)
Lineage: Eukaryota; Metazoa; Chordata; Mammalia; Primates; Hominidae
Source: Ensembl
GUGGAUGCUGCGAGGCUCGCAAGAAAUGGUGGCCCUGAGGGCGCUUUGGGAAUUGUGGAUCAGGCAUCAGUGUGAAGCUUCCUGCUUGUUUGGGAACGAUGGCGGAAGUCAUGAGCUUAUGUUGGGCGAGGAAAAUGAGUGCAAUGCACUAGGAACAUCCACUCUGUCUGCAAACCCAGAGCGUUCACACAGCACUCUGCUUUAUCUGAGACCUCCCAGCCAUGCCUUUCCAACGCCAUUCUACAGAUGAGGAAACUGAGGCCCUUACCGGCAAGAUUAAGUGACCGCCCACGGUCACACAGUCAGUCACCAGCUGAAAGGAACAGUGAGAAUCUGAGGGCUUAUGGUCCGAGCCCUCAGCCCUGUUUCUGCUCUAACUGGGUACAACCAGGCUCCCUCCGUGGCAGCCUCUCCUGGUCUGGCUCAGCUGAGCUCCAUGGACGCCCGCUGCUCUCAUCACUUCUGCCUCCUGCACUCUCUGCUUCCGGUUCUCUGAGUUUUGUGCUGUUCCGGUUUUGUUCAGGUUUAGCACAAGCUGUGAUGAAUAUCUUCAAGCCUCUGCUUCCUGCUGUGGAAUUGUUGCCAAAGGACACAUUCCCAGAUGGGAUUACUGAGUCAGAGGAAGUGGACAUUGAGUGGCUCUCAACAGACAGGCUGUGUUGCUCUCACAGUGCCCAGGUACCACCAGCAAUGUAUACACAUACAGGAAGCGCCGGCUUCCCUGUUGUCUUGUUGCUGUGGCGUGUUGGGGUCUCUAAGACCACCCUGGGUUUGUUGAUUGGCUAGGAGAACUCGCAGAACUCAGCAUACAGUGAUACUCGAGGCUAUGAUGUAUUACGACAACUGGAAAUGAAGCAAAUUCAGCAAAGGAAAAAGGCACAUGGGUCAAGUCCAGAGGAAAUGGAGUGUGAGGGUCCAAGACCCUCUCACAUGCUGGACGCGCCCACUUCCCCCAGAAGUGUGUUGGGACAACACGUGUGGAAUGUCAUUUGUCAGGGACACUCACUAGAGAUUUGGCACCGAGGGUUUUACUGCAGGCUAGUCACAAAGGCCCCCUCUGCCUAGCAUGUACCAAAAUUCUGGACUCCCAGUACGAAGACAUAAACCACAGUGUUUACACAGUUUAGGGGCAGUGAGCCAUUCAUAUCAGGGAAGGGCGGGAACCCUCCCCAAAUCCAAUUUCCCAGAUACGAACCAAGGGCCAACCUUGCAAGCAGUCCUUGCUAAAGAUAACAUUGCUAUAAUUUGUAUUUCUUUCAUUUUUCUUUUGAGAGUAAAUCAUUUCGAUAUAAAAUAAUGAGAUGGGACCUGGCCAUCCGAAGGUUCAUUCACUCUCAAGGCUGGAGGUUGAUGCCAGCUGUCGGCUGUGACCUCAGGUGGGUCUGGCGGCCAGCUGCGGCCCCUCCAUGUGGCUUGGGCUUCUCUCCAGUGUGAAGUGGCUGUGUUUCAAGGAUGAGGAACUGACAAAGAGGGAACCAGGUGGAAGCAGUGUCACCUUUUCUAUCCUAACCACAGAAGCCACCCUGUGCCACUUCUACCACAUUGUUUAUUAGAAACAAGUAUGAAUACUGGCCCAUAUUCAAAGGGAGGAGAAUUAAACUCCACUUUUGAUGGGAGGAGGAUCAAAUAAUUUAUAGAGGUUAUUUAAAACCAUCACAAACAUAUUAGAUUUGCCAUGUUUAGGCAUUUAUUCUGCAAAAAAACAUACAAAUGUGCAAAGUUACUUGAGGCUAUUUUCUGCAGUGUUAUUUGUGUUAGUUAAAAAAAAAAAGGAAACAAUCUAAAUGUCCAUCAAGGGUCAGGUGCAGUGGCUCACGCCUGUGAUCCCAGCACUUUGGGAGGCCGAGGCGGGUGGAUUAUCUGAGGUCAGGAGUUCGAGACCAACCUGGCCAACAUGGUGAAACCCCAUCUCUAUUAAAAGUACAAAAAAUUAGCCGGGCAUGGUGGUGCAUGCCUGUAGUCCCAGCUACUCGGGAGGCUGAGGCAGGAGAAUUGCUUGAACUCUGGAGGUGGAGGUUACAGUGAGCUGAGAUCGUGCC